RNAcentral lists this long non-coding RNA (208 nucleotides) under Carica papaya (papaya). RNAcentral's name for it is "long non-coding RNA (CPAP_LNC011137)". Lineage: Eukaryota; Viridiplantae; Streptophyta; Magnoliopsida; Brassicales; Caricaceae. The record is from RNAcentral.
UGGCCGAAAAAUUCUCCGGUGCGGCGGCGGGUGGCGGCGGCCGACUCCUCCGGCGUCUGGUUCUUCUUCUCCGGCGAGGCACUGGCGGCUAGGGUUUUGUGGUCAGGUGUGGGUGGGGUUAUUUAUACCAUUCGCCUUUUAAUCUCAAUCGUCCAUCAAGAUUAAAUAUGAACUGUCCGAUCGCGAUUUAUUUGGGAUUAAAUCUGGA